Mesocricetus auratus (golden hamster) is the source of this 194-nucleotide small nucleolar RNA. Its record names the gene SNORA73. It matches the Rfam family "Small nucleolar RNA SNORA73 family". From Rfam's summary of the family: U17 (SNORA73A and SNORA73B) also known as E1 belongs to the H/ACA class of small nucleolar RNAs (snoRNAs). Vertebrate U17 is intron-encoded and ranges in length from 200-230 nucleotides, longer than most snoRNAs. The record is from Ensembl. Lineage: Eukaryota; Metazoa; Chordata; Mammalia; Rodentia; Cricetidae.
CCCUCAUAAACGGAUUUGUGCAAUUAUUUUAAGAUUAUAUUAAGAAAGGGAGCAUAGGGCUCUGCCCCAUGACAUACAGUCCCUUUCCACAAUGUUGGAGAUGAAGCUGGGCUACCAGUCUGCCUGCAUAUUCCUACAACUUCUCAGAAUUCCGUGGACCGUGACUGAGGAGACAAACCAUGCAGGAAACAGUC